This 337-nucleotide long non-coding RNA is filed under the name Meriones unguiculatus (Mongolian gerbil). RNAcentral's name for it is "lncRNA (ENSMUGG00000022033.1)". Lineage: Eukaryota; Metazoa; Chordata; Mammalia; Rodentia; Muridae. The record is from RNAcentral.
AACUACCAGUGGAAGCAAACCUUAGAACUACUGUUGACAUAAAUGCUACAGGAAUCUAUGAUCGCCUUUGAUUAUACGCACUAUGCAUGAAGUCUUUGGUUCUCAGUAGCACAGUUAAGAUUCUAGUGCCUGGAAUGAGUAACGUGUGAGGGCAAAUGAUGCGUCUGUCAAGCUGUUCUUCAGUUGACUGUGUUCUCUGGGCCGUCUCCUUGAGCAGAGCAUCAGAAUCCGCAGGCUUCUGGUCGUGCAUCAUAGCUCUGCAACACAGACCAAGAACAAAUAAUGAAAGUACUCACCAAGGCGCACAUUUAUAAAGAAGAAGUUACUACACGAGACA